ACGGAAGUCGUUAUGAUGAUUUCAACACUGACAGAGAACUUGUUCAAAGAAAGUAGAGAUUGACUUAUAACAAUGGCUUUAGUGGCGGACUGGUGAGUAACACGUGAGCAACCUGCCUAUCAGAGGGGAAUAACAGUGAGAAAUCAUUGCUAAUACCGCAUAUGCCAUAAAUAUCACAUGAUGAAAGUGGGAAAGGAGUAAUCCGCUGAUAGAUGGGCUCGCGUCUGAUUAGAUAGUUGGUGGGGUAACGGCCUACCAAGUCGACGAUCAGUAGCCGGACUGAGAGGUUGAACGGCCACAUUGGGACUGAGAUACGGCCCAGACUCCUACGGGAGGCAGCAGUCGGGAAUAUUGCGCAAUGGAGGAAACUCUGACGCAGUGACGCCGCGUAUAGAAAGAAGGUUUUCGGAUUGUAAACUAUUGUCGUUAGGGAAGAGAAAGGACAGUACCUAAGGAGGAAGCUCCGGCUAACUACGUGCCAGCAGCCGCGGUAAUACGUAGGGAGCGAGCGUUAUCCGGAAUUAUUGGGUGUAAAGGGUGCGUAGACGGGAAGAUAAGUUAGUUGUGAAAUCCCUCGGCUUAACUGAGGAACUGCAACUAAAACUGUUUUUCUUGAGUGCAGGAGAGGUAAGUGGAAUUCCUAGUGUAGCGGUGAAAUGCGUAGAUAUUAGGAGGAACACCAGU
This 684-nucleotide ribosomal RNA is filed under the name uncultured bacterium. Its description in RNAcentral is "bacterial SSU rRNA". It matches the Rfam family "Bacterial small subunit ribosomal RNA", at positions 1 to 713 of the family's 1533-position model. The record is from RNAcentral.